GACGAACGCUGGCGGCGUGCUUAACACAUGCAAGUCGAACGGAAAGGCCCUGCUUGCAGGGUACUCGAGUGGCGAACGGGUGAGUCACACGUGGGUGAUCUGCCCUGCACUUCGGGAUAAGCCUGGGAAACUGGGUCUAAUACCGGAUAGGAGCCAUUUUUAGUGUGAUGGUUGGAAAGUUUUUUCGGUGUAGGAUGAGCUCGCGGCCUAUCAGCUUGUUGGUGGGGUAAUGGCCUACCAAGGCGGCGACGGGUAGCCGGCCUGAGAGGGUGGACGGCCACAUUGGGACUGAGAUACGGCCCAGACUCCUACGGGAGGCAGCAGUGGGGAAUAUUGCACAAUGGGCGCAAGCCUGAUGCAGCGACGCCGCGUGGGGGAUGACGGCCUUCGGGUUGUAAACUCCUUUCGCUAGGGACGAAGCUUUUUGUGACGGUACCUAGAUAAGAAGCACCGGCUAACUACGUG
Molecule: ribosomal RNA, 465 nt
Filed under: uncultured bacterium
Lineage: Bacteria
Description: partial 16S ribosomal RNA
Rfam family: Bacterial small subunit ribosomal RNA
Source: RNAcentral